GCAACGGUAGUUCAGCGGUUGAAUUCCUGCCUUCCAUGUAGGAGAUCUGGGUUUGAUUCUUGGCCAAUGUA
This 71-nucleotide transfer RNA is filed under the name Loxodonta africana (African savanna elephant). It matches the Rfam family "tRNA". From Rfam's summary of the family: Transfer RNA (tRNA) molecules are approximately 80 nucleotides in length. Lineage: Eukaryota; Metazoa; Chordata; Mammalia; Proboscidea; Elephantidae. The record is from Rfam by way of RNAcentral.